UAGGAGUACAAGGGAGAAAGUGAAGGGCAGAUCCCUGCAUUGCCCAGAGAUGGCUUCAUGUUAGAAGUGGCUUUUGAGGGAGCUCCUGAAAGCAAAGGUAAAUCCAGAAAGGAGAUUCAGCCAGCCUGAUCCCUAUUCUGAUGCUCUGCAAUACCACAUGUGCUCUUUUAUGUUCUGAGUAGAACUUGAGUGAAGCUAUGGGAAAUGAGACAAAGGAUGGUUGGUUGACCCUUCUUAUAGCAUCUUGGAUGACUACCAGUAUCAGGAUCUAUAAACAGGGCUUCCCUUCAGAUAUAGCUUUUAUCUUGAUUGGCCAGAGAAAGACAGAUUGCUCCUUCACUGAUAAAGAGCUUUUUGAAGACUUACAUAACUCCUGCCGUAAUUUGGAACACAGUGCCUACGAAAAGGGGCCAAAUAUUGAGCUCUCAUUGUUAUAUGGACAGCUCUGUGCUUUCAGAGUAAUAUGGUGACAACAGAAAAAAUAACAAAAUAAAUAAUUUAAUAUAGCAUACUGCAGACGUAUCAAAGAAUUGGGCGUGCGUUCAUUCACUCUUGGCCUCUUUCCCCAGGGAGGGAAGAGGCUGCUGAAGCCUCCCCAUCUCAGAAAGUCCAACCAAAAAUUUGCAGAGAGUGCUGGCAGAGUGCUCACUUCCAGUCCUGCCACCAACCAACCCAUUCUGCGAAAAAUCUGGGCAGUAAUGCUGUUUCACGAAGUAAUUUAGAUGUUCAGAAUCUGUCGCACAGACAACGGGAAAAAUGUUUUCUAGUCAGGGCUCCCCUGUGCUCAGGUCUUUGUGAAUGUCCUGAUUCAAGCUCAGAAUUUCUAGUUUUAAUUAGUUGGAGGUUGACUCUAGCUGUGCUGUUUUAGAUCAUGGGUUUUGCACAGUGUGUUAUGUAAUUACAGCAGAGCUAGUGUUAGCUUUUAGAUUCUCUUUCUUUAAGAGCACUACUCAGACCCAGAAAAACUGAGGGGCUAGGGAGCCUCUCAGAACAAUAAUCUAUAAAAGAGACCAACCUAUCACUAAAAUAAAUUGGAAAUACAGCCUCAGUUAAACAGGGUAAAAUAUAAUUUGUCUCACUAUGUUUGGAAUAGAUAUUCUUCAAAUAGACAUUCUGGAUAUGGCAAACACACACACACACACACACACACACACACACACCCUCUGUUGAGUAUUUUGGUAAUGUAUAUAUGUAUGUGCUAAUUAGCAAUUAGUUGCUUCCAAUUGAAAUUCUGAAAUAAAGUAUAAUAUGUCGCACAACGCUUACUGAAGUGAAUAUGCUUUAUUAUUAUUAUUAUUUACAAUGUAAUACCCUUUAAU
This is a long non-coding RNA of Marmota flaviventris (yellow-bellied marmot), 1319 nucleotides long. RefSeq lists it as uncharacterized. The record is from RefSeq and is a predicted model, not a curated record. Lineage: Eukaryota; Metazoa; Chordata; Mammalia; Rodentia; Sciuridae.